This 3591-nucleotide long non-coding RNA is filed under the name Daucus carota (carrot). RNAcentral's name for it is "long non-coding RNA (DCAR_LNC001931)". The record is from RNAcentral. Lineage: Eukaryota; Viridiplantae; Streptophyta; Magnoliopsida; Apiales; Apiaceae.
AUGAAUCAUUAUUAGUCCUGAAAUUAGUUCCACAUAUGUUGUUAAUACUAAUGGAAAAUAAUUCUUGACACCUGAAUGCAAUGACAAACAGAAGUCAUGUGAUGAGGAACGGGAAUAAACAAUUAAUAUAUAUAUUAUUAAUUAGUUUAUAUUUGUUUAGCGUAGAGACAAAUAAUGUAUUUGUCUAUAUGUUUUAUAUGUGGGGUUAGUAGUUUAUUUAUAAUAAAGCCCAAUUGUUAUGGGCCUUAGUCCAUUAGGUUAUUUAUUAGGGUUUUUAUUCCCUAUAUAAGCAUUGUAAUCCCCACAUUAUUACUUAGCUUUGAUUAUACACCUUUCUUGGGAAUAAUAUUGAUUAUUUAUUCUUGGGAAUCGUAUAAUUCAUUGAUUAUUAUCUUAUAACUGUUUUUAUUGCUUUAAUCACUAUUUUUACAAAAAAAAAAAAAAAAAAAAAAAAAAAAAAUUGGAAAAAUUAAAAAAAAAAAAAAAAAAAAAAAAAAAAAAAAAAAAAAAAAUUGGCAUCAGAGCGAGGUUCCUGAAAAGUAUUACUGUUCACUGGUACUGUUCCUCGGGUACUGUUCACGCCACUGUUCACCUCUGUUUUUCACUGUUCAUCCCCAGAUUUUCAUACCGCUGCCAUCUCUAUACCACUCCGCCGCUGCCCAACUUCAAAACUAUCAAUCCCCACCAGAAAAAAACCACGAAAAAUCUGCCCAAAUCCACAAAUUCUGAACCCUAAUUACAUACCCGACCUGAUUACAAGCCCUAAUUCUCAAAUCAUUAACCCUAAUUGCUUAACACCACAAAUCGCAGAUCAUCACAACUGACUGGAGUUUCAAUCUGCAACAAGAAUCAAGAAGAAUCAGAUUCGAAAAAAAAAAAAAAACACAAGAAGACACGUCUGAAGUGGCCUGACUUUGGAUAUCUAUUGCUAGCCGCCGGAGUCACGCUGCUGCCGGAGUNUGGGAAUAAUAUUGAUUAUUUAUUCUUGGGAAUCGUAUAAUUCAUUGAUUAUUAUCUUAUAACUGUUUUUAUUGCUUUAAUCACUAUUUUUACAAAAAAAAAAAAAAAAAAAAAAAAAAAAAUUGGAAAAAUUUAAAAAAAAAAAAAAAAAAAAAAAAAAAAAAAAAAAAAAAAAUUGGCAUCAGAGCGAGGUUCCUGAAAAGUAUUACUGUUCACUGGUACUGUUCCUCGGGUACUGUUCACGCCACUGUUCACCUCUGUUUUUCACUGUUCAUCCCCAGAUUUUCAUACCGCUGCCAUCUCUAUACCACUCCGCCGCUGCCCAACUUCAAAACUAUCAAUCCCCACCAGAAAAAAACCACGAAAAAUCUGCCCAAAUCCACAAAUUCUGAACCCUAAUUACAUACCCGACCUGAUUACAAGCCCUAAUUCUCAAAUCAUUAACCCUAAUUGCUUAACACCACAAAUCGCAGAUCAUCACAACUGACUGGAGUUUCAAUCUGCAACAAGAAUCAAGAAGAAUCAGAUUGAAAAAAAAAAAAAAACACAAGAAGACACGUCUGAAGUGGCCUGACUUUGGAUAUCUAUUGCUAGCCGCCGGAGUCACGCUGCUGCCGGAGUCUCUGCUGCGGUUACUUGCCGAAAACCGCAUCUGUUCGCUGGAAAUAAGUCUCGUUGUCAAAGGUCACGACAUCUCCUCUGAACAUUAGCUGCUUUCCUACCGUAGGGUUUUUCAGCUUCCAGAAUACUACAAACCAGUUUCUGAUAUUCCAGAAAGUACUGAACAGCCUCUGAAAUUCUCAAUAUCUGCUCCUUCUGAAUUGUUCUUCAAUUUUAACUUUGGUCUUCCAUGUUUUUUUAUAAGCCAUGUCUGCUCACAUCAAGCGACAAAUUGAUAUUGUGAAAGAUAAUAUCUAUUUCAUUAAGCGUGAACGUGAUGAGUUAUACUAUGAAGUCUAUGUCUCAUGCCACGAACGAUGGUUACCUCAAUAUGAGUUUACGUUGAAGGGGUUAGAUGAACAAUAUGAUGAACUUGAAUGGUUGGAAAAGAAGUACUGUAUUGAGUUGAGGAAGGAAAGGUGCAAACGUGCAGAUGAGGAACGAAAACAAACUUUUGAUGAUCUCAUAUCUCAAGUGAAACGUCUUAUGCAUUUAGAGAAUGAGAAAAAGGUCAAACAAACAAAUGAAGUUGAGCAUAUUGAAGGAGUUGUUACGGAAGAUUCAAUUGAGGAAGUUAAACAAGUAACGGAAGAUCCAAUUGAGGCGGUUAAACAAAUUGAGCAUAUAGAGGUUGCAAGUGAGGAGCAACUAAAAGAAACCACGCCACCUUAGUGCUUUUUAAUUGUUGAAGAUCAUAAAGUAGUUGAUGAAAUUAUUGAGAUUGAGCACAUUGACUUCAUUAUUCCGGAGUACUUGUCUAAGUCCCAGUCGCUUGCUUAUCAGUUUUCAAAGUUCUUUGCACCUCGCCCAUGUUUCAUGAAACGCUCGAACUUCAUCUUGGUUCCAUCUCACCAUUCUUGCAUCGUUCUUGAUUUCUACAAAACUCGUGGUCGAGUUUUUUCUAACAAGGGGAGAAUGAUGAGGAACGGGAAUAAACAAUUAAUAUAUAUAUUAUUAAUUAGUUUAUAUUUGUUUAGCGUAGAGACAAAUAAUGUAUUUGUCUAUAUGUUUUAUAUGUGGGGUUAGUAGUUUAUUUAUAAUAAAGCCCAAUUGUUAUGGGCCUUAGUCCAUUAGGUUAUUUAUUAGGGUUUUUAUUCCCUAUAUAAGCAUUGUAAUCCCCACAUUAUUACUUAGCUUUGAUUAUACACCUUUCUUGGGAAUAAUAUUGAUUAUUUAUUCUUGGGAAUCGUAUAAUUCAUUGAUUAUUAUCUUAUAACUGUUUUUAUUGCUUUAAUCACUGUUUUUACAAAUCUGUCCUGCAUCAUCAUGUCUCAAUCAACACUUCUCGAUGUCAGGGGAUGCACAUAAAUUUUAUAGAGAAUAUUGAUUCUGAUGUGAUUUGAUGUUCAAAAAUCAACAAAAAAUCUGAUAGGUGGGCACUUGUCCUAUGUCUGAUAAAUCCAAGUGAUAUUUUUGUUAUGUAUUGAGUGUUGUUAGAAUGCAUAUCAUUUUAGUUAGAAGGUCCUAUCCUUUUUUUAGAUGGUAUUAUGUUUUUUCUUAAACUUCAAAUAUUUUUAAGUAUGGUUUUUGUGUUUUAUUUCACGUUUCUGAGGAAGUUCUAUAUUUGUCAUUCAUGUUUAGUUCUGUGUUUUGUUUGAAUACCAAAGAGAUGUUUAAAUCAACUACCGUAUACGAUUAUCUUAUUUGUGUACUAGUCUCAAAUGUAUGAUGUCAAUUUUAAAUGUUGAUAGGAGUCAAUUUCAAUUAUUAAGCCUUGUUCUUCCAUAUCUGGAGUUUUCAUGCAACUCUAAUUUUGGUUUCCUCAGUUCUUUCAUUAAGAGUUAUGCAGUUCUUAGUUAAACUUUGCCCUAAUGCUUGUUACUUCUGAUAAGCUAUAUUUUUAUGGAUAGUCAAUUUUGAAUAUUCUUUAACAUUGCUUGUCGAAUAACUUUAUUUGUCUGGAUUUCAAAUGUUAAUCUCCUAAUCUCACUCAUUUUGUUGAGUGGUUGCAACUGAUUUGAAAUUCUUUAA